This 3115-nucleotide long non-coding RNA is filed under the name Nicotiana benthamiana. Its description in RNAcentral is "long non-coding RNA (NBEN_LNC024436)". The record is from RNAcentral. Lineage: Eukaryota; Viridiplantae; Streptophyta; Magnoliopsida; Solanales; Solanaceae.
UCCAAUCAAAUAAAUUCCCUAAUCUAUGAUAGUCCUAAGCUAAAUGCAUUGAUAGGAGCUUACAUUACUCAAGCUAAACUUAAUUGACCAAUACAUACAUCACAUCCAAAAGACUAAAUCAAAACAAUACUACAUCAAUCAGACUGAACUGAUAUUAUGCUUUAGGACAGCUUUUCAUUUCAUUCUGCGGAUUCAUUACAUAAACCAUUAAGGUUCAACAGCGUGUACCUGAAGAUUAAGAGAAACAGGGGUUAGAAGUGAGCAGCAACAAGAGACAGAUAUCAACAGAGAACAACAAUAGAAAUACCCAGUAUAACCAAGGAAAACAAAUUUUACAGCCAAAUUCAACCAGCAGAAGAAUAGAGUGAUACCCAAUAACCAAAUUUAGCCAAAACGUGAGUCAAACCCUUUAAACCCAACAAGUUCAAACCACUUUUAACCUAUGAUUAUUCAGGCAUUAUUUCAGAAAUGAAAACCUCAAGAAUCUAAAAAAAUCAAUGGAAUAGUAAAAUUUUAUGUUUCUCUGCUGUUUUUAGCCAUUUCUUGUAUUUUUUUCCAGAAUUUUAUCCCUCGCCCCACCUCAUAAACCUUGCCUAAAGGCAAGGUUAGAAUGUCUUCUAAAAGGAAAGGAGUAGCGCAAUACUCGAGCUUUAAUUUUCAAUUUAAUCCUUUAGUUUUUAACUUGUGGACAAAGUUUUUUACAUCAAAAAUAACACGAAGCCUAUACUAGAGGCUUCCUAUUUCAGUUAUUAAAGGAUUCCCUUACUUAGACUACCCAAAUUACCCUGAAACCUUAUUAUUUUUCUUUGCUAUUCAAGCAAACCUUAGGUUUAAAUGACCAAGCCAAUGGGUCUACCCAAACCCUAAUUGAAUCCCAGAUUGGGCCUCUACCCUUUGAAUCCCAAAGUGUGGUUCAAACGACCAUAAGUCACAAAUGGGUAAACCCAGAGUUCAAGCGUUAAGGAGGCUAAACAACCCAUUGGUGAUUAUGACCCAAAUGAAUUCAAACCAAACAACUCGAAGGACUACUUAACAAUUUUAGCACUAAUUGAAAAUACAAAAUAAUUUUAAGAAAACCAACAGAAUUAACUCAAAGCCACUACCUAUGCCAAACUAAUUAACACAGAAUCAUAGGGACAAGAAAAGAUAGAAUGAAGAUGGAGAAGAAGUAGACUUCAGAAAGACAUGGCUAAGCAAAUUAGUAUUUCAAACUUUCUAAUGAAGAUACACUGAUCAAGCUUAUUAGGAUGAUAAAAAUAAAAACGAACAUCAUGGAGAAUCAUGAAGAUGAGAACAUGAGUACCACAAAAAUGAUCACUAACUUUGAAUUGCCUUAAACACCUUGAUUUUGACCACAAGGGUCCUCGAUCAUGUGUUCUCAAUGAGAACCCAUGAUCGAGGCACAUUUUGGUCGAAAUCAUAUCCCAACUCUGGUCCAGAUACAUCACCAGCUUGAUUUUGAAACAAUAUUUGACUGGUUUUAGGGUUGUUUGAAAGGAACGAGACACAGAUCUGGUAUGAGAGAGAGUCAGGGGUCAUUUAGUAUUAAUUUGGGGUGGUUUGGAUGGCGGCGCCGCUGUGCACGGCGGAGGCGAGUGGUAGGGUUUAAAUUAUUCGAAUAGUUUGGGUGGGAUAUGAGGGAAACGACGCAUGGAUUUGGAAAAAGGAGGAGAAGGUUGUCAAGUGAAGUUAAUUUGGUGUGAUUUGGUGUUCUGCCGCCGGCAGAGAUGAUUUUUGACCGGCGGUGCAUGGUGGUUGGUGGUGGUGUUAUGUUCUCUGAUGAGCAUGUGAGGGAUGAAGGGGGUAGGGGGUUUUGAGGGGCGGGGUCCUACUUGGACAUUAAUAUACUUAGGGGUGUAGGCUUCUGGACUGUUUGUUCAAUUAUCCUAGACGGCUAGGAUUGAACAGAUCCAAAUGACAUCGUUUGGUAUAGUAGGGGGUUGGUUCGGGUUGGAAUAUGUACACCAGUUUUAGUGGGUUUAUUUGGGCUGUUCUUGAAUGAAAUUGGCCCAAUUGUUCUUUUAGUCUUCCCUUUUUUAAUUUUCAUAUUUCUUUUCUUCUUUUCUUUCUUUUCCAUUUUCCAAAAUUACUAAAAUGCAAAUUUAAAUUAUAAAUCCUAAAUUUAACUAUAAAAUACUAAUCAUCCCUUACAUAAUUUUUUCUAUUAAUAAUUUAAAAAAAUUAAAAGCAAAAUAUCCUGAAAAUCAUAAUUAAAAUUAAAAGAUCAAAUUAAACUAUUUUUUGAUUUUUCUCCUGUUAUAAAAUGGCUAAUUGCUAAUUAAUUCUUGAAAAAUGAUCAAAUAAACUUCUAAAUGUGCAUGCGACAAAUUUUUGUAUUUUUUUCACUAAUUAAAAUGCGCAAACAAAAUGCAAACAAUUAACAAAAACUGCCACAAAAUUCACAAAAUCGCAAAUAAAUAAAAGAAAUUAUGUUGUUUGAAUUUAUAGGAGUAAUUCCUGUAGGGCAAAAAUCACAUGCUCACAGGUUCAACCAACUAGUUGUUGAUUCAAUAUGUUUUAGCUUACAACGAUUCAGUUGAAAAACAAUAUUUUGAGUAAAUGAAAUUAGAUGAUGGAGAGUAAGAAUAACACUACAUGCUGAAUCCUAACAUUGUCAUAAGAUAACAACUGCUUAUGUGAUUCUAACCACAUUUUCUACAUGCUGGGAUGCUCAGAAAUACACAUGAUAGGUUGAUAAAUAAUGAUGAAUAAAUGACACUAAUCUCUACUGUUGACGCAUACAUCCAGGCACAACAUAAUCAUGAAAUAACUUCAGAUUGCACAAAUAGAGUCAUUUUCAUAGCUGAAAUAUGGUUACAUACCUUUAGAUGGUUUAAACAAGACAUAAUAAAGGUCACUAGCACAUCUGAUUCUUCCAAAAUAGUGAGCAACAACAGGAAGCCAGACACACAACCAGAUUAGAAAAUAGAUUCAGCUUUCGAAACCCAGGGAUUACAACUCAAAAAAAAAGAAGACCAAGAUAAGUCCUUCUACUCCAAGUUAUUUGCAGCUUUUCAGAAAACCAAAGAGGAAAGUUUUCUCAAAGUUUGAAACUUAGUGUUUUCAGUAGAAGAGAGAAUGAAGUUUUUCUGUGUGUAAUAAAUCAGUGCCCCCC